UCAUAGUGAACUUGAAAAGCAGCUUAAGGAGGCUAGGAAUAGACUCCUUAACCCUCCUUCCCCCAUUGAUGACCUCCUUACUCUUCUUGAUGAAGUUGAAAAUUUGUUAGCAUACGUGGAGCAAGUACCAUCCAAAUCAAUGCGAGAUGCGCUUUUUCCCUUAGUAAAGGCUCUGAUCAAUAAUAAACUUUUGAGACAUGCUGAAAUGGAUGUGAAGGUAUCAGUUGUAUCUUCCAUUAUUGAGAUUACAAGAAUAACAGCACCAGAUGCCCCAUAUAAGGAUGAGCAAAUGAAGGAAAUAUUUCAAUUGAUUGUGGCAGCAUGUGAAAAUAUGUCUCAUGUGUCUACUCGCUCUUAUAAGAAGGUGACUUCAAUUCUUGAUACCAUUGCAAAGGUCAAGUUAUGCUUGGUGAUGUUGGAUCUUGAGUGUGAUGCAUUGGUUGUUGAGAUGUUUCAAAGUUUCUUGAAGAUGAUUUGGUUCAACCAUCCACCUGCUGUACUUUCAGCCAUGGAAACAAUUAUGAGUCUGGUCAUAAAUGAAAGUGAAGACAUUUCCUUGGAUCUUCUUAGUUCACUUUUUGCUAUUGUAAGAAAGGCAAAUCAGAAUUUUUCACCUAUUUCAUGGACAUUGGGGGAGCAAAUAAUCACUAGGAUUAAUGCCCAGCUAGAAUAGAUAAUGACACCCACUCAAAAACUACCCAGCAAGCUUGAGGGUGCACAUGAUGUGAAAGUUGAAGUUGUUGAACGUGCUUCUGAUCAACCCUCCACAGUCCUUGAAGAUCUACAUCUUGGUGAAGUCGAAGAGGUUAAAACCACAAUGCUUCCUAUGGUUCAUAAGGUUCAAGACGAGAUUAUACUGAUUCCAUACAUUGAUUUUGUUAUUCCAAAUGAGUUUGAUAUGGUGGAAUUCAAGGUUUUUCUUUUCCCUGAGCUCCCUAAGGUGAUUCCAGACUUGAAGCAAGUGUUACUUGUCAGCAUCCUAAUCCUUCAAUGCUUUAAAACUCGAGGUUGAGUUUUCUCCAAUCGGAGGAGAAUGAUGCGGGAGACACAAGAAGAUUUUUAUUUAGUAUUAUUUAUAUUUGCAAGUCAUUUGUAUUUUUUAUGUUUUAGGUCCUAGUAGUUUAUUAGGUUAUUAAUAUUUUAAUUUGGAAGUAAGGUUAUUUUCGUAAUAAGGCAAUUAGGGUUUUCUAACCAAUUAGAACUAGGGUUUAGUAAUCCUUUAUAAGCAACUUAUUGUACUCCUUGAGGAGAUAGUUGAUAUUUUGAUGAAUGAAAACAAUGGCCGUUUGGUCAUUUUUUGGUCUGGUGCUGACUCAAGAUCCACCCUAGGUGCUGACUCCUAGUGGUUUCCUCACUUGGUGUUAACUCCAAGCAAGACCUAAGUGCUGACUCCUAGAUCAUAUCCCUUUAUUUUAUUGUUAUUUCAGUUUUGUUUUGAUUGUCCUGCGUCAUGUUUCCAUAUAGAAACUUUAAACUUUAAACUUUAAAGUCGAGCUCAUUAAAUUAGGCAUUUUAGAUUUUCUGAUAGUAUAGAAGUUCCUUACACUCAUAAGAGGUUUAGGAUUUCUUCAGGUUAAAGAGGGAACUUAUUAUUCUUUUGCUUGAUCGUAGAGUGAUACUUAUGAUGGAAUUUUUCUAUACAUGCUUUUUCCCAUUUUCUGAAUGCUUGGGUAGGUCUGUUUUUCAUUAUGGGUUCAAAUUUUGAAGAACUUGAGUCUUUAUACUUUGUACUCAACAUACAUGAAUAAUGACAAACUAAGGAAUCUUUUGUGCUUGGUUCGUAUACUUCUGCUUAGUUUUCAUAUGAGAUGGUUUUUCAAAAUAAUCAUUAUAUAUUAUAAUGCUUUGUACAUAGUCAGGAAAGAUUCCUUUAGCAUUUGUGAAACUAUAAUUGUUUUUAUCUUACUGACGGCAUUAAUAUUCCCCCCUAGAAGACAACGGAAAAUUCUAUUUAGGAGUUGCAUACAGCAAUUUUGAUUGGGCAUAGCUGAUGCAUGUGCUCCCACAUUAUGGGAGCUAUUAGAUAUUUUAUUGUCCAAGAUUGUGAUCACUCAAUGGAAGAAUGUGCCAAAGGUAACUCCCCAGGUUUCCAUUAUUGUCAUCUAAAACAGAUAGACUGUUAUGUCAUCCAUUUAGUAGCAUCUUGAAGUUCAUGUGAUAUCAGAAAAAGCUGGUGGUAAUUUCAUCCAAAACUGACUUUCUACUCUCUCUUCCCUAAUACUAGUAUUUUUUUCCUUUUUAGAGUAAAAUAUCAAAAUUUUAUUAAUAAAGUAUAUGAUAUUCCUUCCUUAAUAUAUUCACCUUUCUUCAAGUUUUUCAUAAAAUUUGGGCAUGAUGUUGUCUAUAGGAAAACUUGGUACUUGUAUUUCAACUGCGGUCCACUAAUGCAUGAACAAGCAGGGAAAUAAGGAAUAGGAAAUAUUCUGCUGAACUCAGUCAGGGCGGUGUAAGGACAGGAACAAUUUUCUUCCCCUACUUUUGACAAAUACCAGAACCUGCAAAUUAUGAGGUGAGUUUGUAAGUUUAAUGUCAUUUCAUAUUUUUUAAAUUGAUACUUAUGUAUAUCCCCAGUUAAAUUCAUUUAAUAUUGAUGAUGUUAAAGCCUUUCCAGAGUUGUGAGGCAGAUCUGUUUCACUACUAUCCAGCAAAGAUAGAUGUGCAAUCCCUCUCUAGAAAAAGCUACGUGGAAGAUUUGUCAGUGGUUGAGGAUUUAUUUUAACUUGUACACUUGUAAAACCUUAGAUUACAGCCAAAGCUGGAUAUUGUUGCUGUUCACUUUGAAAAGGAGGUAGAAAUAGUUGAGUGGCCCAGAGAUAAAAUUUGUCAACUGAAACCGUAAUUUGAAUGUAUCUGCAAUUGUUGAUUGGGUAUAUUAGGUAUCACCAUCGACAAAGCAUCAAGUAAGGCCAAGGCUUUCCUAGCAUUUACACUUCAUGCCAUGGCUGCUUCCAUUUCCCAUCUAUAUAAUGAGAAAUAGUUCUAUUCUUUCUUGAAUGUACAGAAUUAAUGACAAUUCAUUCACUUUUCAAAUCUUAUGUUGUGGCUUCCUACUUAAAGUCUCCAUAGCAGUGACUUCAACACUUUUCUAGAUUAUGAGGUAUGCAUUUGUGAUUAGCCUUACAUAUUGGUUAUCAUUGUAUGCAUCUUUAUUUGAAUGCUCAAACUUCAGAAAUAAAAACAGACAUAAAAUUU
Quercus robur (English oak) is the source of this 3192-nucleotide long non-coding RNA. RefSeq lists it as uncharacterized. The transcript has 3 exons. The record is from RefSeq and is a predicted model, not a curated record. Lineage: Eukaryota; Viridiplantae; Streptophyta; Magnoliopsida; Fagales; Fagaceae.